This 905-nucleotide ribosomal RNA is filed under the name uncultured Acidobacteriota bacterium. RNAcentral describes it as "bacterial SSU rRNA". It matches the Rfam family "Bacterial small subunit ribosomal RNA", at positions 58 to 940 of the family's 1533-position model. Lineage: Bacteria; Pseudomonadati; Acidobacteriota. The record is from RNAcentral.
CAAGUCGAACGAGGCGGAGGGGGCAACUCCUCCAGUCGAGUGGCGGACGGGUGAGUAACACGUGGGUAACCUGCCCGGAAGUGGGGAAUACCUCGGGGAAACUCGAGCUAAUACCGCAUGACAUCUUUGGGACGAGAGUCCCGACGAUCAAAGCGGGGUCGCAAGAUCUCGCGCUACCGGAUGGGCCCGCGCCCGAUUAGCUAGUUGGUGGGGUAAUGGCUCACCAAGGCUUCGAUCGGUAACCGGCCUGAGAGGGCGAUCGGUCACACCGGAACUGAGACACGGUCCGGACUCCUACGGGAGGCAGCAGUGGGGAAUCUUGCGCAAUGGGCGAAAGCCUGACGCAGCAACGCCGCGUGGAGGAUGAAGGCCCUUGGGUUGUAAACUCCUGUCGGCUGGGAAGAAAUCAUACGGCGCUCAUACCGCCGUAUGUUGACUGUACCAGCAAAGGAAGCCCCGGCUAACUCUGUGCCAGCAGCCGCGGUAAUACAGAGGGGGCCAGCGUUAUUCGGAAUUAUUGGGCGUAAAGGGCGCGUAGGCGGCCAUGCGUGUCUUCCGUGAAAUCCCUCGGCUUAACUGAGGACGUGCGGAAGAAACUGCAAGGCUCGAGUCCGGGAGAGGGGGGUGGAAUUCCCAGUGUAGCGGUGAAAUGCGUAGAUAUUGGGAGGAACACCGGUGGCGAAGGCGGCCCCCUGGACCGGUACUGACGCUGAGGCGCGAAAGCGUGGGUAGCAAACGGGAUUAGAUACCCCGGUAGUCCACGCCGUAAACGAUGGGCACUUGGUGUCGCGGGUAUCGACCCCUGCGGUGCCGAAGCUAACGCAUUAAGUGCCCCGCCUGGGGAGUACGGUCGCAAGGCUGAAACUCAAAGGAAUUGACGGGGGCCCGCACAAGCGGUGGAGCAU